Long non-coding RNA from Panicum virgatum (switchgrass), 945 nucleotides. RefSeq lists it as uncharacterized. The record is from RefSeq and is a predicted model, not a curated record. The transcript is spliced from 3 exons. Lineage: Eukaryota; Viridiplantae; Streptophyta; Magnoliopsida; Poales; Poaceae.
CUGCUCUCACCCCGCACACAGGCACACGGCACUACCGCCGCCUCCGCGUCUCUGCACCCUCCGGCCGCUCCGGCCGGUCGCCGCGUCGCUCCAGCCCCCGGCCGCUCCCGUCGCCCUCCCCCUACCCCUCGCACACGCACCAUCACGCCCGACGCCCUGCCACUCGCGCCCGGCCAUCGGCCGGUUCCCCUCGCGACGCCGAUCCCUUCCUUAACGAAACACCGAUCCCUCCUCACCCCGUCGCCCUCGCCCAGCCCUUCCUCACAUGCAGUGCCGUAUGCCGCUAUCAUCAACGAGAUUGGAAUCGAUUGGUGGUGCCACUUGCCUGCCCUACGUCUCCUUCCUCAUGGUGGUCUAGGUUAGCACAUUCAAGGACAGAUUGUACGGAUCUGAUGAAAAAGAACAGUGAUCACAUUCCAUUUGGAGACCUUCAUAACACCACAAAUGGAGUCAAAAUGAAUAGUUCACUGCCACAAGCUGCGCUCCGCUGAAUUGCACCUACCCGUCCCUGGUACUAUGGUGUUCACACACAAUUUGCUGGUGGCGAUGUCAUGUUAAACAAGGAAAACAUAGACACUAAUGGCAGUACUGAUUGGCUCCAUAGAAACUCAUCAUACCAGCACCACAAAUUUGAUAAUGAUAGUAUCCAUUCUAAUACCAGCUAUUUUUACUAUAGUGGCCUCUCUAGGAGUUUGAUGUUUACUAUUAGAUUUUCAAGAAAAACCAUGACGCCAUUUUCUACAAACUCAAAUUUUAUGUAUAUAUUCAAGCAACAAUAGUAUUAUCGAUUUCGUCUGUGUAGGUUUGUACUUCAUGCAUGUAUUGGACUUAUGUACAAUUUUAUAGUUUUGGAUUCAGUGAUGAAAGUUUGGGCUUAUAUGUAUAUAAUCGUGAUGAAAAAUUGACCAUGCUGAGGCAUUGGAUUUGUAACCUAUUAUAGAUAAU